Molecule: ribosomal RNA, 220 nt
Filed under: uncultured bacterium
Lineage: Bacteria
Description: partial 16S ribosomal RNA
Rfam family: Bacterial small subunit ribosomal RNA
Source: RNAcentral
AUUGAACGCUGGCGGCAUGCUUUACACAUGCAAGUCGAACGGCAGCGCGGGGCAACCUGGCGGCGAGUGGCGAACGGGUGAGUAAUAUAUCGGAACGUACCCAGGAGUGGGGAGUAACGUAGCGAAAGUUACGCUAAUACCGCAUACGAUCUAUGGAUGAAAGACAGGGGAGUCGCAAGACCUUGUGCUCAUGGAGCGGCCGAUAUCUGAUUAGCUAGUU